UACGGAGGGUGCAAGCGUUGUCCGGAAUCACUGGGCGUAAAGGGCGCGUAGGCGGCUCAUGAAGGCUGUGGUGAAAGUCCGGGGCUCAACCUCGGAUCGGCCGUGGCGACUCGUGGGCUGGAGCACUGUAGAGGCGGGUGGAAUUCCGGGUGUAGCGGUGGAAUGCGUAGAGAUCCGGAAGAACACCAGUGGCGAAGGCGGCCCACUGGGCAGUGGCUGACGCUGAGGCGCGACAGCGUGGGGAGCAAACAGG
Molecule: ribosomal RNA, 253 nt
Filed under: uncultured bacterium
Lineage: Bacteria
Description: partial 16S ribosomal RNA
Rfam family: Bacterial small subunit ribosomal RNA
Source: RNAcentral